This is a non-coding RNA of Paramuricea clavata, 211 nucleotides long. NCBI's taxonomy places the organism in Eukaryota, Metazoa, Cnidaria, Anthozoa, Malacalcyonacea, Plexauridae. The record is from the annotation of a GenBank genome assembly.
UAAAAGUGCCCUUUUUUGUGAUAAAAAGUGCCCUUUUUGUGUUGAAAAGUGCCCUUUUUUUGUGAGGAAAAGUGCCCCUUUUGUAGAAGCUAAUGUCGCUGUAAAUACUAAAUUAAAACAAUAGGUGCCGUUUUUGUGUGGAAAUUUACAAAUUUUUUUUAAAAAUUAGGUCACAAACAUAAAUUUCGGUAUGAUACGACGGAAAAUUUUC